UUGCAGUUAAAAAGCUCGUAGUCGAAUUCCAGGGCGGCGGGCACGGUCUGCCGAUGGGUAUGCACUGUGUCGGCCGCCUUUCCUGCUGGGGUCCGUGUCUGCACUUAACUGUGCGGGUACGGGGAACAGCGCGUUUACUUUGAGAAAAUCAGAGUGUUUAAAGCAGGCCAAGAUUGCUCUUGCAUGGAUUAGCAUGGGAUAAUAAAAUAGGACUUUGGUGCUAUUUUGUUGGUUUCGAGUACCGAAGUAAUGAUUAAUAGGGAUAGUCAGGGGCACUUGUAUUCCGUUGAGAGAGGUGAAAUUCUUAGACCAAUGGAAGACAAACUACUGCGAAAGCAUUUGCCAGGGAUGUUUUCACUGAUCAAGAACGAAAGUUAGGGGAUCGAAGACGAUCAGAUACCGUCGUAGUCUUAACCAUAAACCAUGCCGACUAGGGAUUGGAGGAUGUUACUUUUACGACUCCUUCAGCACCUCAUGAGAAAUCAAAGUCUUUGGGUUCCGGGGGGAGUAUGGUCGCAAGGCUGAAACU
RNAcentral lists this ribosomal RNA (529 nucleotides) under uncultured marine eukaryote. RNAcentral describes it as "SSU rRNA". It matches the Rfam family "Eukaryotic small subunit ribosomal RNA", at positions 613 to 1144 of the family's 1831-position model. The record is from RNAcentral.